GCCUCCGUACCGGAGUUGGCGAAGGCCACCCGCUCCAGCCCGGUGAGGCCGGCGAGGAGUUCCGCCGCCUCGCCGGUCUCGAUGGUGCGGGGGCC
This 95-nucleotide transfer RNA is filed under the name Streptomyces violaceus subsp. violarus. RNAcentral describes it as "tRNA-Trp". Lineage: Bacteria; Bacillati; Actinomycetota; Actinomycetes; Kitasatosporales; Streptomycetaceae. The record is from RNAcentral.